This 491-nucleotide ribosomal RNA is filed under the name uncultured bacterium. RNAcentral's name for it is "bacterial SSU rRNA". It matches the Rfam family "Bacterial small subunit ribosomal RNA", at positions 28 to 507 of the family's 1533-position model. The record is from RNAcentral.
GAUGAACGCUAGCUACAGGCUUAACACAUGCAAGUCGAGGGGCAUCAGUUUGGUUUGCUUGCAAACCAAAGCUGGCGACCGGCGCACGGGUGAGUAACACGUAUCCAACCUGCCUCAUACUCGGGGAUAGCCUUUCGAAAGAAAGAUUAAUAUCCGAUAGCAUAUAUUUCCCGCAUGGGUUUUAUAUUAAAGAAAUUCGGUAUGAGAUGGGGAUGCGUUCCAUUAGUUUGUUGGGGGGUAACGGCCCGACCAAGACUACGAUGGAUAGGGUUCUGAGAGGAAGGUCCCCCACAUUGGAACUGAGACACGGUCCAAACUCCUACGGGAGGCAGCAGUGAGGAAUAUUGGUCAAUGGGCGAGAGCCUGAACCAGCCAAGUAGCGUGAAGGAUGACUGCCCUAUGGGGUUGUAAACUUCUUUUUAUAAAGGAAUAAAGUCGGUAUGGAUACCCGUUUGCAUGUACUUUAUGAAUAAGGAUCGGCUAACUCCGUG